This 494-nucleotide ribosomal RNA is filed under the name uncultured bacterium. RNAcentral describes it as "partial 16S ribosomal RNA". It matches the Rfam family "Bacterial small subunit ribosomal RNA", at positions 28 to 507 of the family's 1533-position model. The record is from RNAcentral.
GACGAACGCUGGCGGCGUGCUUAACACAUGCAAGUCGAACGGUGAAGCGCCUUCCUUUUUGGUGGGUGUGGAUGAGUGGCGAACGGGUGAGUAACACGUGAGUAACCUGCCCCCUUCUUCUGGAUAACCGCAUGAAAGUGUGGCUAAUACGGGAUAUUCUGGGUCUGUCGCAUGAUGGGUCUGGGAAAGAUAUUGUUUCGGUGGGGGAUGGGCUCGCGGCCUAUCAGCUUGUUGGUGGGGUGAUGGCCUACCAAGGCGGUGACGGGUAGCCGGCCUGAGAGGGUGGACGGUCACACUGGGACUGCGACACGGCCCAGACUCCUACGGGAGGCAGCAGUGGGGAAUAUUGCACAAUGGGCGCAAGCCUGAUGCAGCGCCGCCGCGUGAGGGAUGGAGGCCUUCGGGUUGUGAACCUCUUUCGCCAGUGAAGCAGGCCUGCCUCGUUUGUGGGUGGGUUGACGGUAGCUGGAGAAGAAGCGCCGGCUAACUACGUG